RNAcentral lists this ribosomal RNA (442 nucleotides) under uncultured bacterium. RNAcentral describes it as "partial 16S ribosomal RNA". It matches the Rfam family "Bacterial small subunit ribosomal RNA", at positions 338 to 795 of the family's 1533-position model. The record is from RNAcentral.
CCUACGGGAGGCAGCAGUGGGGAAUAUUGGGCAAUGGACGCAAGUCUGACCCAGCAACGCCGCGUGAAGGAAGAAGGCUUUCGGGUUGUAAACUUCUUUUAAGGGGGAAGAGCAGAAGACGGUACCCCUUGAAUAAGCCACGGCUAACUACGUGCCAGCAGCCGCGGUAAUACGUAGGUGGCAAGCGUUGUCCGGAUUUACUGGGGGUAAAGGGCGUGCAGCCGGAGAGACAAGUCAGAUGUGAAAUACACGGGCUCAACCCGUGAACUGAAUUUGAAACUGUUUCCCUUGAUGGUCGGAGAGGGAAUCGGAAUUCCUGGUGGAGCGGUGAAAUGCGUAGAUAGAAGGAAGAACACCAGUGGCGAAGGCGGAUUACUGGACGAUAACUGACGGUGAGGCGCGAAAGCGUGGGGAGCAAACAGGAUUAGAUACCCCUGUAGUC